This is a non-coding RNA of Manis javanica (Malayan pangolin), 1659 nucleotides long. Lineage: Eukaryota; Metazoa; Chordata; Mammalia; Pholidota; Manidae. The record is from RefSeq and is a predicted model, not a curated record.
CGGAAAGCUUGUGCUGACUGAAGCUCAGAAUGGCGGUUUUGGUUACGUAAUUCCAGGAUGAAUCUCUUCAACCUCUAGACUUCGGAAGCUGCCCACAAAAGACAAAAGGAAUGAUGUCUCAAUUAAGGCUGUAAAACUGCCAGGGGCCUGAUCAGGUAGUAAAUAGAUAAUAUGCAGUUUUGUGAAGCUAUCUUAUAUGAAAUCUCGAGUUUUAAAGACUAUGCUUGGGCACCACCGUUUUAGGAUUUCCUGACUGCUGUUUUCAUUGGCACUGGGCUUUAUUCACAACUUAAUAUGACACUUUUACCCAGUAUUUGCUAGCUGAUACACAUUUGAGUCUGAUUCCUGAUCUGGGGCCACCAGAUAGAAAGAACUGAAGAGGACUAAAGGAUCCCAAUUUCCUAUCAGCUGAAGAAAGGGUUAAAAAAAUUGGUAUAUCCAUAAAAUGGAGUAUUAUUCAGCAAUAAAAUGGAACCAACUACGUGCUACAACAUGGAUGAACCUUGAAAACAUGCUAAAUGAAAAUGUCAGUAACAAUAGACCACAAAUUGUAUGAGUCCAUUUACAUGAAAUGUCCAGAGUAAACAAACCCACCGAAACAGAAAGUAGAUUGGUGGUUGCCUAGGCCUGGGGCAUGGGUGAGGUAUGGUCAAAGCAGACCACUAAUGAGAAAGGCAUUUCUCUUAGGGGUGAGGAAAUGUUCUAAAAUCUACUGUGGUGAUAGUUGUGUAACUCCAUGAAUAUACAAACUAGUGAAAGGUACACUUUACACAGGAAAAUCGUAUGGUAUGUGAAUUAUAUCUCAACAAAACUAUUAGGAAGAGCUAAAGGGCAGAGAAGCCUGAGGCCAGCCUGCAUAGAAGUCUGUGGACUGGAGAGGAGGGUUGCAGAACUGGUUCAAAGGUGGAGUCCUGUUUUCCUGUUGAUCGCGGUGGUACUUGGAGGCUUUAAAACUUGAAUGGUAAGGGCUAUAGGAUUGGAAGGAUGAGGAUUCAAUGACCUUGCUUUGGACCAAUGCCCAUUCAGGGGUGGGAAGGGGCCACAAGCAGGGCCAGCCGGGCAAGGAAUAGUGGCAGCAAUACGUAAUACUGGUCAAGGUCUAUUUUAUCAGACAGUCUAAACCUCAGGAUGGGGCCCAGGUGGUGGCAGUAAUAAUUCCAAAUGGGAAGGGCAUGGGCAAAGGGCACCAAAAUGAUCUUAUAUCUGACUUUUCAUUAACCUUGGUGAGUGAUGACUUUAAUUGAAUUUUAGAAAAAUUAAAAAGGCCAUUUCUUUUUGGGGUGUUUGUGUUGUAUGGGCACACACACUUGUCAAGUACCAAAAUGUGAGAUUAAUUGGUUCUUUUAUAAAACAAGGUUCAAUCAAGACUUCCCUGGGUGUAAAGACCAUCUUGCCCCUGCAUCUGCCCAUUCUCUCCAGAGCAGCAGAGGACAAGAGUGGGGUUAGAGCAAGUGCACCAUGAAUCCCCAUACCCUUUAACCCUUCUUUAUCUGUGCUGCCUCUUGAGCACUCUGGGAAUAUGGAGAUGUGUGAAGAGCCUCUGUCAGGGAUGAUGGGGAAAAAGCUAAGAUAUCUUGAACCCACUCAUGUGUGAAGCACUUACAUAAAAUUAAAAUUUAAAUAGCUGAGUCUUGUCCUCAAGGAAAGUACAGUUUAGUU